Molecule: ribosomal RNA, 494 nt
Filed under: uncultured bacterium
Lineage: Bacteria
Description: partial 16S ribosomal RNA
Rfam family: Bacterial small subunit ribosomal RNA
Source: RNAcentral
GACGAACGCUGGCGGCGUGCUUAACACAUGCAAGUCGAACGGAAAGGCCUGCUUUCCCUUGUGGAUUGCGGGUACUCGAGUGGCGAACGGGUGAGUAACACGUGAGUGAUCUGCCCCCAACUUGGGUAUAAGCCUGGGAAACUGGGUCUAAUUCCCGAUAGGACUGCAGGGUGGUGCCUGUGGUGGAAAACGAUUUUCUAGUGGUUGGGGAUGAGCUCGCGGCCUAUCAGCUUGUUGGUGGGGUAAUGGCCUACCAAGGCGGCGACGGGUAGCCGGCCUGAGAGGGUGGACGGCCACAUUGGGACUGGGAUACGACCCAGACUGCUGCGGGAGGCAGCGGUGGGGAAUAUUGCGCAAUGGGCGGAAGCCUGAUGCAGCGACGCCGCGUGGGGGAUGACGGCCUUCGGGUUGUAAACUCCUUUCGACCGAGAGGAAGCCACCUGGUUGGAAGGGUGGUGACGGUAGUGGUAGAAGAAGCACCGGCUAACUACGUG